This 253-nucleotide ribosomal RNA is filed under the name uncultured bacterium. RNAcentral's name for it is "partial 16S ribosomal RNA". It matches the Rfam family "Bacterial small subunit ribosomal RNA", at positions 524 to 776 of the family's 1533-position model. The record is from RNAcentral.
GACGAAGGAUGCAAGCGUUAUCCGGCUUCAUUGGGUUUAAAGGGAGCGUAGGUGGCUUUGUAAGUCAGUGGUGAAAUCUGGCAGCUUAACUGUUAAAUUGCCAUUGAUACUGCAGAGCUUGAGUACAGAUGCCGUUGGCGGAAUAUGACAUGUAGUGGUGAAAUACAUAGAGAUGUCAUAGAACACCGAUUGCGAAGGCAGCUGACGAAACUGUAACUGACACUGAGGCUCGAAAGUGUGGGGAUCAAACAGG